UACAAGUACCCGUGAGGGAAAGUUGAAAAGCACUUUGAAGAGAGAGUUAAAGAGGACGUGAAACCGAUGAGAUGGAAACGGACAGAGCUAGCGUAUCUGGCUUGCAUUCAGCUUGCGCAGUCGCUACCGAUGAAUCGCUGAUCUCCAGAUUGGGACUGUUGACUAGUCGGUUGGUGGCUGUGUUGUGCAUUUGCAAGUGGAGUGCGUCGAGGCAUCCGGUGCGGCGGAAUGAACUUGGUUUUGAGGCCAGCUUGCUGGUACCCGGACUCGAGGGAUUUCUGUUCAUGCUGGGUUGCAUCUGUGUGGACAAGGCUUUGCGGGCUGAGUUGGGUGCCGAGCUGGAUGUCGGUGGCGGUCGCUUGCGACACGUACUGUGCCGCCAGUUCGGUCCUGGCUUAGCUCACUCCUCUGUUCAAUCUCGGCGUAAAAGCUGGUCAUCUUUCCGACCCGUCUUGAAACACGGACCAAGGAGUUUAUCGUGUGCGCGAGUCAUUGGGCGUUGAAAACCCAAAGGCGCAAUGAAAGUGAACGUAUCCGCUAGGAGCCAACGUGCGAUCCUGGUCACUGCGGUGGCCAGGCGCAGCAUGGCCCCAUCCUGACUGCUUGCAGUAGGGUGGAGGAAGAGCGUACGCGAUGAGACCCGAAAGAUGGUGAACUAUUCCUGAGCAGGAUAAAGCCAGAGGAAACUCUGGUGGAAGUCCGAAGCGAUUCUGACGUGCAAAUCGAUCGUCUGACUUGGGUAUAGGGGCGAAAGACUAAUCGAACCAUCUAGUAGCUGGUUCCUUCCGAA
This 790-nucleotide ribosomal RNA is filed under the name Pratylenchus loosi. RNAcentral's name for it is "partial large subunit ribosomal RNA". It matches the Rfam family "Eukaryotic large subunit ribosomal RNA", at positions 343 to 965 of the family's 3401-position model. The record is from RNAcentral. Lineage: Eukaryota; Metazoa; Nematoda; Chromadorea; Rhabditida; Pratylenchidae.